AUGCUGGAGGUAUCAGAAGUGCGAAUGCUGACAUAAGUAACGAUAAAGCGGGUGAAAAGCCCGCUCGCCGGAAGACCAAGGGUUCCUGUCCAACGUUAAUCGGGGCAGGGUGAGUCGACCCCUAAGGCGAGGCCGAAAGGCGUAGUCGAUGGGAAACAGGUUAAUAUUCCUGUACUUGGUGUUACUGCGAAGGGGGGACGGAGAAGGCUAUGUUGGCCGGGCGACGGUUGUCCCGGUUUAAGCGUGUAGGCUGGUUUUCCAGGCAAAUCCGGAAAAUCAAGGCUGAGGCGUGAUGACGAGGCACUACGGUGCUGAAGCAACAAAUGCCCUGCUUCCAGGAAAAGCCUCUAAGCAUCAGGUAACAUCAAAUCGUACCCCAAACCGACACAGGUGGUCAGGUAGAGAAUACCAAGGCGCUUGAGAGAACUCGGGUGAAGGAACUAGGCAAAAUGGUGCCGUAACUUCGGGAGAAGGCACGCUGAUAUGUAGGUGAAGUCCCUCGCGGAUGGAGCUGAAAUCAGUCGAAGAUACCAGCUGGCUGCAACUGUUUAUUAAAAACACAGCACUGUGCAAACACGAAAGUGGACGUAUACGGUGUGACGCCUGCCCGGUGCCGGAAGGUUAAUUGAUGGGGUCAGCGCAAGCGAAGCUCUUGAUCGAAGCCCCGGUAAACGGCGGCCGUAACUAUAACGGUCCUAAGGUAGCGAAAUUCCUUGUCGGGUAAGUUCCGACCUGCACGAAUGGCGUAAUGAUGGCCAGGCUGUCUCCACCCGAGACUCAGUGAAAUUGAACUCGCUGUGAAGAUGCAGUGUACCCGCGGCAAGACGGAAAGACCCCGUGAACCUUUACUAUAGCUUGACACUGAACAUUGAGCCUUGAUGUGUAGGAUAGGUGGGAGGCUUGGAAGUGUGGACGCCAGUCUGCAUGGAGCCGACCUUGAAAUACCACCCUUUAAUGUUUGAUGUUCUAACGUUGACCCGUAAUCCGGGUUGCGGACAGUGUCUGGUGGGUAGUUUGACUGGGGCGGUCUCCUCCUAAAGAGUAACGGAGGAGCACGAAGGUUGGCUAAUCCUGGUCGGACAUCAGGAGGUUAGUGCAAUGGCAUAAGCCAGCUUGACUGCGAGCGUGACGGCGCGAGCAGGUGCGAAAGCAGGUCAUAGUGAUCCGGUGGUUCUGAAUGGAAGGGCCAUCGCUCAACGGAUAAAAGGUACUCCGGGGAUAACAGGCUGAUACCGCCCAAGAGUUCAUAUCGACGGCGGUGUUUGGCACCUCGAUGUCGGCUCAUCACAUCCUGGGGCUGAAGUAGGUCCCAAGGGUAUGGCUGUUCGCCAUUUAAAGUGGUACGCGAGCUGGGUUUAGAACGUCGUGAGACAGUUCGGUCCCUAUCUGCCGUGGGCGCUGGAGAACUGAGGGGGGCUGCUCCUAGUACGAGAGGACCGGAGUGGACGCAUCACUGGUGUUCGGGUUGUCAUGCCAAUGGCACUGCCCGGUAGCUAAAUGCGGAAGAGAUAAGUGCUGAAAGCAUCUAAGCACGAAACUUGCCCCGAGAUGAGUUCUCCCUGACUCCUUGA
This 1571-nucleotide ribosomal RNA is filed under the name Escherichia coli. Its description in RNAcentral is "bacterial LSU rRNA". It matches the Rfam family "Bacterial large subunit ribosomal RNA", at positions 1270 to 2826 of the family's 2925-position model. The record is from RNAcentral. Lineage: Bacteria; Pseudomonadati; Pseudomonadota; Gammaproteobacteria; Enterobacterales; Enterobacteriaceae.